AGACCCGAUAGCCGACCCAAGUCCCCGUGAGGGAAAGAUGAAAAAGAAACUUUGAAAAGAGAGUUAAAGAGUACCUGAAACCUGCUGAAAGGGAACCGAAUCGUUUCCAGUGUCUAUAAUCCGUGGUAUAUUUCAUUGGCGAGUGUGUGCGUGCGUGUGCUGUGGCAGCGGCUUUUUAGGCUGCGCUCGGCGUGUGUGCUGUGUGUGCUUGCUGGUGCCCUGUACUGCGGUGGGACGUCAAGGUCAGUUCGUAUGCUGCGGGAAAUGGCUGCCGAGGAGGUAGGGCUUACGCUUGCGUUUGUCUGUUAUAUCUUGGUGGACGAGUAGUCGCGGUUGGGACUGAGGUGCCUACAACGUGCUUUUGAGUGGGUUUGUGUCUCCGUGUGCGCCGUGUGCGGAUAGCUUGCUAUGCGUGUGUGGUUGUGUGUGGAUUGAUGCGGGCUUUAACUUGUUGCCGUUCGGGACGUUGACGAAAUGGGAGCGAUUCGACCCGUCUUGGAAACACGGACCAAGGA
RNAcentral lists this ribosomal RNA (515 nucleotides) under Phytophthora cactorum. RNAcentral's name for it is "partial large subunit ribosomal RNA". It matches the Rfam family "Eukaryotic large subunit ribosomal RNA", at positions 331 to 672 of the family's 3401-position model. The record is from RNAcentral. Lineage: Eukaryota; Oomycota; Peronosporomycetes; Peronosporales; Peronosporaceae.